UCCUGAUAGCUCAGUUGGUAAAGAGUCUGCCUGCAAUGCAGAAAACCCUGGUUCAAUUCCAGGGUUGGGAA
This 71-nucleotide transfer RNA is filed under the name Ovis aries (sheep). It matches the Rfam family "tRNA". Rfam says of the family: Transfer RNA (tRNA) molecules are approximately 80 nucleotides in length. The record is from Rfam by way of RNAcentral. Lineage: Eukaryota; Metazoa; Chordata; Mammalia; Artiodactyla; Bovidae.